CUUGCUGCUUCUCUCUCUCUCUCACUGAACCCCUCAUCAAAGCUGCAAUUUUGAAGUUCCUUUCCGGGUCGAGCAAGAAGCGGAGGAACGGCUUCAAUGGCUUCAAUGUCGUUGUGUUCACUGUCGUCACCCCACAAUCUCCUCCACCACCGCCCCACGAAGCUCUCUGUCCAAAUCCUCAGACCCAACACCCUUUCCCAGCUCAACCGUAAAUUCCCGACAUUUCCAUCCUUAUCCGCUCCUCAUAGGACAAGACUCUCGGCUGUGGCCGAGGAGGCGACAUCGGCUCCUGCUGCCGCUCCUGGCCCAUCCUCGGAGGCUGCGAGGAGGCUCUAUGUCGGAAACAUCCCGAGGAACGUCGGCAACGCCGAGCUCACCCGUAUAGUCGAGGAGCACGGCUUGGUCGAGAAAGUCGAGGUGAUGUAUGAUAAGUACACUGGAAGGAGUCGCCGUUUUGCGUUUGUGACAAUGAAAACCGUCGAAGAUGCUAAUGCGGUGAUCGAGAAACUCAAUGGCACUGAAAUUGGAGGGCGCGAGGUCAAAGUAAACAUCACUGAGAAACCUUUGCCCUCAGUAGACUUUUCCUUCCUCCAAGCCGAGGAAUCCCAGUUCGUUGACAGCCCCCACAAAGUAUAUGUAGGUAACCUUGCAAAGACCGUAACAACAGAAUCCCUGAAGCAGUUUUUCUCCCAGAAAGGAAACGUGCUCAGUGCAAAGGUCUCGAGGGUCCCUGGAACCUCGAAAUCCAGCGGGUUCGGCUUCGUAUCCUUCUCAUCACAAGAGGAUGUGGAGGCUGCAAUUUCAUCAUUUAACAAUGCUUUGUUGGAAGGGCAGAAGAUUCGAGUGAACAAAGCUUAGGGGUAUAUGCACACCGCAGGCUUCCCUUUCGGGAGAUUGUACUUCAAUUCAAUAGUAAGUGUAGACUGUAGAAAAGAUGGCAGAUACUAGAAGAAGAAUAAAGGUCUCGAGGAAAUGCCAACUUUCAAUAUGGAUCUCAAUAUGGGUAUCUUCUAUACAAAAACCGAAGAGGAGAGAAGAAAAUACAUGUAUCUGCUAAUCCUGUUAAUAUAAUUUUACAUCGAUAUAAUUUGUACUUAUCUUGAUAGUUAUUAAAUAAAGAAUGAAAAAAUCUGAGGUCGUA
Punica granatum (pomegranate) is the source of this 1141-nucleotide non-coding RNA. The record is from RefSeq and is a predicted model, not a curated record. NCBI's taxonomy places the organism in Eukaryota, Viridiplantae, Streptophyta, Magnoliopsida, Myrtales, Lythraceae.